This 1409-nucleotide unclassified non-coding RNA is filed under the name Hevea brasiliensis (rubber tree). The record is from RNAcentral. Lineage: Eukaryota; Viridiplantae; Streptophyta; Magnoliopsida; Malpighiales; Euphorbiaceae.
AAAAAAAAAAAAAAAGAAAGAAACUCAAUUUUUCUUCGAUCCAAAUUUUCAACCAAUAGGAAUCAACACAAUUGAUAAAAUGUUACAAAGUAAAUUAUCAUUCAUUCAAUCCAGACAAUUUUCAAUGCAAGAGUGUUAACAUAUUGACUUAAAUGAAGAAGGUAAAACUCUAACAUAAGUGGAGCAAAGAAUCAAAAUCCAACAUUUUCAAGGUGCAUUUUACUACAUCAACAAAAUGAAAGUAGAAAGCAACUAUUGUUACCGUAUAUUCAAAUUCAAGAAAGGCAACAGGUAUGAGACAUUUAGGCAGCAUUUGCAAAAAAAGAAUGCAUUAGAGGUGGGGAUCGACAUAACACAGAUCCAAAUUAGCCAAUUCGGGCUUUCUCAACCUACCUAAAUCUUCAAACUUUUCAAUCACAAAUAAAGAAGAACUAGUAAGUUUAGUAUCCAUUGAAGACUUCUCAUUUUCUUUUGGGGAAAAAAUGCAAUUUCAAAAUCAUUGCCAAAAUGCUUUAAAAUCAACGAUUUAAAAAGUUCAAAAAGUACAAAAUUAAUUCAAGAAUGUAAAAAAGAUUUACAAAAUUUAUUGGGAGGGUAGAAACCCCAUAUAUCUACAUAUUUCAAUAUAAAGACUAACCAUUGGCAAAGUAAUUGUUACAUGUAACUUAUAAUAGGAUUGAUAAAGAGUUUUAGCAUUUAGAGCUUUUAAUAAUAGGCAUUCUGCAUAAGAUAUUGCUAAAUUGAUAAAAAGAAAUACAUUACAUAAUGCAACAGCAAUAGCAACUAGACACUUAAAAUUUUUUCAUUGGUUUUUUUAUAAUGCAAUGGCAAAUACUAUAUCCAUAUCAGAACUAAAAAGAGCAUGACAACUAAUUUGUGGUGAUAAAUUUCUUUUAUAUCAGAUAUACAUUCCAUAUUUUAAAUAUGUAUUCAAGAUGCAAUAAGAUCAUUAAAUUCUUAUAUUCAACCAAUAAAAAAUGUCCUAAUUAUUUGUGGAUGCAUAGUAGUUUCAUGAAAGAUUUGAAAAGUUCUCAUCAUAAUCAUAACAUGCGCCCCAGAAAAUUUUCUAAAAAAUGUACUUACAUGAUAAAAUUCUACAUAUAAAAUACUUGAGAAAACAUAAGAAAAUAAAAAUUUGGUGUAUGCUUUUGUUAAUAAGUGUUUGCUUACAAUUGAUUGUUUCCUAUGUAAUUGCAGUAUUUAGACACACAAAAAAAAACUAGACCAAACAUAAGAAUAUAAAAAUUUGGUGUAUGUUUUUUUGAUAAGCGUUUGCCUACAAUUGAUUAUAACUUAUGUAAUUGCGGUGUCUACACACAGACAAACACACGAACUCACGGACAUGUACAGGCACACGUGUGCGCGCACGUACACACACACACACGCACGCAUAUAUAUAUAUAUAUAUA